AGCAGUCGCCACGGUAAUGCGUAGGUGGCAAGCGUUGUCCGGAAUUAUUGGGCGUAAAGGGCUCGCAGGCGGUUUCUUAAGUCUGAUGUGAAAGCCCCCGGCUCAACCGGGGAGGGUCAUUGGAAACUGGGAAACUUGAGUGCAGAAGAGGAGAGUGGAAUUCCACGUGUAGCGGUGAAAUGCGUAGAGAUGUGGAGGAACACCAGUGGCGAAGGCGACUCUCUGGUCUGUAACUGACGCUGAGGAGCGAAAGCGUGGGGAGCGAACAGGAUUAGAUACCCGAGUAGUCCCUGUCUCUUAUAC
RNAcentral lists this ribosomal RNA (303 nucleotides) under uncultured bacterium. RNAcentral's name for it is "partial 16S ribosomal RNA". It matches the Rfam family "Bacterial small subunit ribosomal RNA", at positions 507 to 807 of the family's 1533-position model. The record is from RNAcentral.